RNAcentral lists this non-coding RNA (91 nucleotides) under Crenobacter luteus. Its description in RNAcentral is "Burkholderia RNA 7 (anti-hemB)". It matches the Rfam family "Burkholderia RNA 7 (anti-hemB)". From Rfam's summary of the family: This RNA motif was identified by computational search in b-proteobacteria Burkholderia. Lineage: Bacteria; Pseudomonadati; Pseudomonadota; Betaproteobacteria; Neisseriales; Neisseriaceae. The record is from Rfam by way of RNAcentral.
CCUCCCGCUUUCCCUCCCUGAGCGGGUGCCUUGGUGCUGACCAUCGAGGCCUUUCGCCCCGGCGCAUCCUCCUUGAGCCGGGGCUUUUUAU